RNAcentral lists this ribosomal RNA (582 nucleotides) under uncultured bacterium. Its description in RNAcentral is "bacterial SSU rRNA". It matches the Rfam family "Bacterial small subunit ribosomal RNA", at positions 102 to 670 of the family's 1533-position model. The record is from RNAcentral.
ACGGGUGAGUAACACGUGGGCAACCUGCCCUUGAGACUGGGAUAACUUCGGGAAACCGGAGCUAAUACCGGAUAAUAUAAGGAACCUCCUGGUUCCUUGUUGAAAGAUGGUUUCGGCUAUCACUUAAGGAUGGGCCCGCGGCACAUUAGCUAGUUGGUGAGGUAACGGCUCACCAAGGCGACGAUGCGUAGCCGACCUGAGAGGGUGAUCGGCCACACUGGGACUGAGACACGGCCCAGACUCCUACGGGAGGCAGCAGUAGGGAAUCUUCCACAAUGGACGAAAGUCUGAUGGAGCAACGCCGCGUGAGUGAUGAAGGCCUUCGGGUCGUAAAGCUCUGUUGUUAGGGAAGAACAAGUGCGAGAGUAACUGCUCGCACCUUGACGGUACCUAACCAGAAAGCCACGGCUAACUACGUGCCAGCAGCCGCGGUAAUACGUAGGUGGCAAGCGUUAUCCGGAAUUAUUGGGCGUAAAGCGCGCGCAGGUGGUUUCUUAAGUCUGAUGUGAAGGCCCACGGCUCAACCGUGGAGGGUCAUUGGAAACUGGGGAACUUGAGUGCAGAAGAGGAAAGUGGAAUUCC